UUAGCGGCGGACGGGUGAGUAACACGUAGGCAACCUGCCCUCAAGACUGGGAUAACUACCGGAAACGGUAGCUAAUACCGGAUAAUUUCUUUCCUCUCCUGAMGAGAGAAUGAAAGGCGGAGCAAUCUGCCACUUGGGGAUGGGCCUGCGGCGCAUUAGCUAGUUGGUGGGGUAACGGCUCACCAAGGCGACGAUGCGUAGCCGACCUGAGAGGGUGAUCGGCCACACUGGGACUGAGACACGGCCCAGACUCCUACGGGAGGCAGCAGUAGGGAAUCUUCCGCAAUGGGCGAAAGCCUGACGGAGCAAUGCCGCGUGAGUGAUGAAGGUUUUCGGAUCGUAAAGCUCUGUUGCCAGGGAAGAACGUCCGGUAGAGUAACUGCUACGCGGAGUGACGGUACCUAGAAGAAAGCCCCG
This 417-nucleotide ribosomal RNA is filed under the name Paenibacillaceae bacterium CL5.89. Its description in RNAcentral is "bacterial SSU rRNA". It matches the Rfam family "Bacterial small subunit ribosomal RNA", at positions 92 to 495 of the family's 1533-position model. The record is from RNAcentral. Lineage: Bacteria; Bacillati; Bacillota; Bacilli; Caryophanales; Paenibacillaceae.